Long non-coding RNA from Nycticebus coucang (slow loris), 638 nucleotides. RefSeq lists it as uncharacterized. NCBI's taxonomy places the organism in Eukaryota, Metazoa, Chordata, Mammalia, Primates, Lorisidae. The transcript is spliced from 3 exons. The record is from RefSeq and is a predicted model, not a curated record.
CCACCCCCACCACUGAUGAAGCCAGGAGCACAGGAUCCCACGGACACAGUCCUCAGAGGGGAGUGGGGGGAGGAGAGGGGAAGGGUGGAGGGCAGAGAGAAGACAACCGUGCACACAACAUCUCUGCCCUUUGGGAGCUUACUUGGGUGGCUGAGAAGGCACAUAUUGAAAAAUCCACAGUGACACAACUCAGGCUGGAAGAGAGGAGUUAGUGAGGACUUCUGGAAGCUCCCAUCUUGGAGAAGGUUAAGGAAGACUUGCGAGACAGCAGCCAUAGUGACGAGCAAAUCAGAGUGUGCCCCUCUUCCCUGGCCACAGCCCCUCAGAGUCCUUCCUGGGGAUCUUCUGUUAUCACAAAGGCUGUCUCUUGCCUCUGAAUUCAGGAUUCUGAGAGGAUGUAAAGUUACAACUAUUGGCUGCUACUGCCUCCUUACCCCCACUCAGAAACUAAGAACUGAAUUUGCAGCCCACUGCUCGCAGCCUCUGAGGGCCAUCGGGGUGCACUUGGGUGCUGCAGCUACCCUUCCCGCAUCUUCUCAUCCCUUCGCUCCAGUGCCUUCAUUUAUUAACUUUUGUGGUAUUCGAUGCAUCGCCACAGCCUGUCAAAUAUUAAUAAAUAAACCGUGUCAGCACUCUCA